RNAcentral lists this ribosomal RNA (431 nucleotides) under uncultured bacterium. RNAcentral describes it as "bacterial SSU rRNA". It matches the Rfam family "Bacterial small subunit ribosomal RNA", at positions 743 to 1174 of the family's 1533-position model. The record is from RNAcentral.
ACGCUGAGGAGCGAAAGGGUGGGGAGCAAACAGGCUUAGAUACCCUGGUAGUCCACCCCGUAAACGUUGGGAACUAGUUGUGGGGACCAUUCCACGGUUUCCGUGACGCAGCUAACGCAUUAAGUUCCCCGCCUGGGGAGUACGGCCGCAAGGCUAAAACUCAAAGGAAUUGACGGGGACCCGCACAAGCGGCGGAGCAUGCGGAUUAAUUCGAUGCAACGCGAAGAACCUUACCAAGGCUUGACAUAUACGAGAACGCUGCAGAAAUGUGGAACUCUUUGGACACUCGUAUACAGGUGGUGCAUGGUUGUCGUCAGCUCGUGUCGUGAGAUGUUGGGUUAAGUCCCGCAACGAGCGCAACCCUCGUCCUAUGUUGCCAGCGGGUCAUGCCGGGGACUCAUAGGAGACUGCCGGUCAACUCGGAGGAAGGC